RNAcentral lists this ribosomal RNA (253 nucleotides) under uncultured bacterium. Its description in RNAcentral is "partial 16S ribosomal RNA". It matches the Rfam family "Bacterial small subunit ribosomal RNA", at positions 524 to 776 of the family's 1533-position model. The record is from RNAcentral.
UACGGAGGAUCCAAGCGUUAUCCGGAUUUAUUGGGUUUAAAGGGUGCGUAGGCGGAAUUGUAAGUCAGUGGUGAAAACUUGCAGCUUAACUGUAAAAUUGCCAUUGAUACUGCUAUUCUUGAGUACAAUUGAGGUAGGCGGAAUGUGUAAUGUAGCGGUGAAAUGCUUAGAUAUUACACAGAACACCGAUUGCGUAGGCAGCUUACCAAGUUAUGAUUGACGCUGAGGCACGAAAGCGUGGGGAUCGAACAGG